AGCAGCCGCGGGGGCCUGAGUCGCCCCGGGCCCUCCGCCAGGGAUGGGCCCCACGGGUCCCGGGGAGGCUCGGCACGUCCCGAUCCCCCUCCACGGAGCCGCCGCACCGCAGAGGCCUCCCCCACGGCCGAGGAACACGUGCGCCUCCCGGGGCCGUUCGCCCGCCCCCCGCGAGCGCUUACCCCGACCUCGGCGGCGGGCCUCCGGCAGCCGGGCCCGCGCCCCCAGCGAAGCCCUCACCGCCGCCGCGCCGCCGCUCGCAGUCCCGCCCCCGCUUAAAGCGGCCGCCGGGCGGACGGAGAACUAGGCCCCGGCGCACCGCCCCCAAGUGUUCUCCAGGGCCACGGAAAGGCCCAUUUGUUCUGCACCUGCGUCUCCUUGAGCUGGACUGCAAAGGACCACUUUCUGUCCGCUCCUGUCUGAUGCACUCCACCCAGGGCAAAAAUGGAGGGAGAAAGGCUUCGGGCCAGGACAAGGAGUGGGGAGGAACAGCCUGAUGCCCAGGUGAGGUGGCAUGGGCCGGACCAAGAGGUGCCUGAAAGGGAAAAUUACUGUCCAGUCUCACUUAUAGACUCAACCUAUGAGAGAGGUUCAAUAGUGAGCUGUACCUGAUGACCUAUGUUACCGUGUUGGAUGGACAGAUGGAAAGUGAUGACCUGAAGUGCACCAUCUCCAAUCCCAUUUCAUUUCCUGUACCUACACCUCUCCCUGCCGGUUUACCACUCCCUUGAGGAAUCUUUGUGGUCCCUGCCCAAACUGAUACAUUUCACACCUUGCAGUACAUAGAGCUUGCAAAGCCGACACUUUGAAGGAAAGAUGCCCCUUCGGAAGCAAGUUCUUUUCCUGUUUAUUAUUGCCACAAAACAAAAUGCAGCUGAAACUGGAUCUGUAAGUGGAGGUUUUAGAGUUAAUUAUUUCUUACCCCCAUGUUUGCAAGUAAAAUCCUCUAUGGUCCCUCCACCACCACCCCUCAAAGUAGGAGGUUCAAAAUUGGGGAAAAAGACUAAAAAUUCUGAGGGCUUGAAAUUGGUGUGCUGAGGGCUGUUUAAUAUUUUUUACAGGAUAGAGAGAAAAUCUGGGUAGAUACACCCUUUGAUAAAUUUCAGCCUAAUUGCAUAUGAUAAAGAUCCUGACAUUAGAAGAAUUCCCUCACUUUCCAGAGGCCUGAAUUUGAUCAAAGUACCCGUCACACGGUUAUGAUUUUUGUUUGUUUUCUUGUCUGUCUCCUGAAUUAGAGGUUAGGAACAGUAUCAGCUGCAUCCCUAUCGGGUAAAUUAAAUCAUGUGCCUCCUCUGCUUAAAACCCUACUAAGGCUUUUCAGCUUCUCCCUGCCCUUGGCCACUGCCAUGUUGCACCCGAGCAUUCCUACAUCACGUUGUGGCCACGGUGGACUAGCUGUGCUUCACACCCCCCACACACUGUUCCUGCCUAAGGCCCUGUGCAGUUAACCUGCCUGUCUGGAAUGUUCUUCCCUCAAAGGCACAAAACUGGCUCCUUGUCCUUGCUCAACUCAGAUGCCACCUCCUUAGAGAGAGGCCUUCUUUAAGGGUAAAUAUAAGGAAACUCUUCCCAGUCAAUUGUAUCUCAUAAGACCAGUUCCCCCCACAUCCUCACAAUCUGAAAUUAUCUUACUCAUUUAUCAUGUUUCCCCUCCUGAAUGGUAAGUUCUUUUCCUGUCUUUACCACUGUAUUUUCAUUGCCCAUUGGAUGUUGUCUUUCAUCAACUAGAACUGUCAAAACAAAAUAUCACAGAGCAGGAAGCUGAAACAACAGAAUUUUGUUUCUUACCAUUCUGUGCUCCAGGUAGGAAUAGAUAGAGAGUGGUCUAGAGACUGGUCCAAGAUCAAGGUUCUGGCAGAUAGGCCUCACUUUGAGGCCUGUUCUCUUGGUUUGUGGGUGCCCACCGUCUCACAGUAUGUGCACAUGAUCUCUUCCUUGUGGACCAGUGAGAGAGAGAGCUCAGUUCUAUCAGAUUAGGACCCUAUCCUUAUGACCUCAUUUAACCUAAUUAUCUUUUUAGAGGCUCUCUGUCUAAAUAGUCACAUUGGGGUUUGGUCCUUAACAUGUGAUGGGGGGAAGGGGCACAAUUCAGUCCACAACAUGUUACUCAACUCUAUUGUCACUAUAACAAAUUCUUGAGCUAAACAACUUAUAUAAAGAAAAAAGGUUUAUUUUGGCUCAUAGUGUUAGAGGUUUCAAUCCAUGUUCAGUGAGCCCUCCUUGUUUCUUUUGGGCCUCUAGUGAGGCAGCACACCAUGGCCCAGAGUGCAGGAAGGAGCAAAGCCAAAGACAGCGGAAGAGUCCUGGGUUCCACCAUCCCCUUCAGAGGCGCACCCCCAGUGACCCAGAGACUUUCCACUUGGCCCCACCUCUUAAAGUGUCCCCACCACUUUCUAAUAUCACCAUGCUGGAGCCCAAACCUUUAAUACAUAGGCCUUAGGAAGACAGUCCAUAACCAAACUGGUAUUUAAUCAGCAAAUGAAUAAUUGUGGUCCCUGUCUGGAAUAAUGCUCCCUAUAGGGCAAAGAUCACCUGAAGCAUUAGAAAGAAGCCAAGGGGCAGGGAAUUUAGCUCACUAUACCUGUAGAGCACUUGCCUAGCAUUCUGAAGACCCUGGGCUCAAGCCCCAGCUCCACCAAAAAAAAAAAAAAAAAAAAAAAAAAAAGCA
Molecule: long non-coding RNA, 2668 nt
Organism: Sciurus carolinensis (gray squirrel)
Lineage: Eukaryota; Metazoa; Chordata; Mammalia; Rodentia; Sciuridae
Exons: 2
Source: RefSeq, a predicted model, not a curated record